This 253-nucleotide ribosomal RNA is filed under the name uncultured bacterium. Its description in RNAcentral is "partial 16S ribosomal RNA". It matches the Rfam family "Bacterial small subunit ribosomal RNA", at positions 524 to 776 of the family's 1533-position model. The record is from RNAcentral.
UACGUAGGGAGCGAGCGUUAUCCGGAAUUAUUGGGUGUAAAGGGUGCGUAGACGGGAAGACAAGUUGGUUGUGAAAUCCCUCGGCUUAACUGAGGAACUGCAACCAAAACUAUCAUUCUUGAGUACUGGAGAGGAAAGUGGAAUUCCUAGUGUAGCGGUGAAAUGCGUAGAUAUUAGGAGGAACACCAGUGGCGAAGGCGGCUUACUGGACGGUAACUGACGUUGAGGCUCGAAAGCGUGGGGAGCAAACAGG